CGCAAACUACAUUCUCUUAGGCGCAGCCUCUAGCUGCAUUUUCCUGACCCUUUCUCUCCGCUUGAUCCCCUCGCUUGUCGGCUUCUUCCUCAUCCUCCUCCACAUCCUCACCAUCGGCGGCGCUGUGGCGGGCUGCGCCGCCGCCUCCUCCGGCGCCGGAAAAUGGUAUGCUGCACACAUGAUGGUCACCGUGCUUUCCGCAAUCUUUCAGGGCUCUGUUUCGGUGCUAAUUUUCACUAGUAGUGAGGACUUUUUGGGUAAACUGAAAUCAUAUGUUAGAGAAGAAGAUGGUGUCAUGAUCUUGAAAUUGGCUGGGGGAUUGUGUGUUUUGAUCUUCUGUUUGGAGUGGAUUGUUUUAACACUUGCCUUCUUUGUGAAAUAUUAUUCGUUGGAUGAGAAUGUGGAGGUGAAGAGAAGUGCUAAGGUUCAACAAGAAUUGGAUUAUCUGCCUUA
This 453-nucleotide long non-coding RNA is filed under the name Daucus carota (carrot). RNAcentral describes it as "long non-coding RNA (DCAR_LNC004753)". Lineage: Eukaryota; Viridiplantae; Streptophyta; Magnoliopsida; Apiales; Apiaceae. The record is from RNAcentral.